This 85-nucleotide transfer RNA is filed under the name Felis catus (domestic cat). It matches the Rfam family "tRNA". From Rfam's summary of the family: Transfer RNA (tRNA) molecules are approximately 80 nucleotides in length. Their secondary structure includes four short double-helical elements and three loops (D, anti-codon, and T loops). Lineage: Eukaryota; Metazoa; Chordata; Mammalia; Carnivora; Felidae. The record is from Rfam by way of RNAcentral.
GCCUGGGUGGCUCAGUCGGUUAAGCGUCUGACUUCAGCUCAGGUCAUGAUUUCACGGUUCGUGGGUUCAAGCCCCACAUCAGGCU